CCUACGGGAGGCUGCAGUGGGGAAUAUUGGACAAUGGGGGGAACCCUGAUCCAGCCAUGCCGCGUGUGUGAAGAAGGCCCUCGGGUUGUAAAGCACUUUCAGUGAGGAAGAACGCCUGGUGGUUAAUACCCAUCAGGAAAGACAUCACUCACAGAAGAAGCACCGGCUAACUCCGUGCCAGCAGCCGCGGUAAUACGGAGGGUGCGAGCGUUAAUCGGAAUUACUGGGCGUAAAGCGCGCGUAGGUGGCUCGAUAAGCCGGUUGUGAAAGCCCCGGGCUCAACCUGGGAACGGCAUCCGGAACUGUCAAGCUAGAGUGCAGGAGAGGAAGGUAGAAUUCCCGGUGUAGCGGUGAAAUGCGUAGAGAUCGGGAGGAAUACCAGUGGCGAAGGCGGCCUUCUGGACUGACACUGACACUGAGGUGCGAAAGCGUGGGUAGCAAACAGGAUUAGAUACCCUUGUAGUC
This 465-nucleotide ribosomal RNA is filed under the name Vreelandella stevensii. Its description in RNAcentral is "partial 16S ribosomal RNA". It matches the Rfam family "Bacterial small subunit ribosomal RNA", at positions 338 to 795 of the family's 1533-position model. The record is from RNAcentral. Lineage: Bacteria; Pseudomonadati; Pseudomonadota; Gammaproteobacteria; Oceanospirillales; Halomonadaceae.